UUUCUUCCCUGCUUCAUCAUGUGGAAGUGUGUUUUCACUCCAUUUUCUAAAGAGGCCACUGUAUUUGCCGAUAUUUAAGUGUGCUCUCGCGAGGACAGUGGUUUUCAGCGGUUGGCCCAGCCUGUUGCUGUUGCUGGAAGUCCUUCUUGGGUUGAAGCAGCACACUGCUUGCUGAAGCUGUAGGAGCCUUUUGUGAAAGGAAAUCUCACCUGGAACCUGCAUUGGUAAAGCGUUCAGAAGUGGAGCUGCUCUGCUGGGGGGUUACUGAGGGCUGAUGAGGGGUCAUCGAGGCACCCUGCUGGACCCCUGACCCACUCCUGUCGGGGGCAGCGUGGGAACCAGCUGAUAAGAUGACUGCUUGGGUCUCUGGGAGCUGUCGUCCAGGAGUUUGUAUCUACGAUGUCUGCAAUGGGAGGCUUGUGGAGACCUUCCAGCCUUCCUUUCCUCUGCAGUGAUGACCGCAGAUGACAGCUGAUGCUCCAUCAGCCUGGGUUCCAGAAGAGAACCGUGAGAGCAGAGCCCCCAACUGAUAGGCAAUGAGCAUGUACCUCAAGCGAGAAAUAAACCUUUGUUUUAGGCCAAAAAACCAAAAACAAAAACAGCCUUAAUGAAUUUUGGAUUUUCC
Eubalaena glacialis (North Atlantic right whale) is the source of this 625-nucleotide long non-coding RNA. RefSeq lists it as uncharacterized. The transcript is spliced from 3 exons. The record is from RefSeq and is a predicted model, not a curated record. Lineage: Eukaryota; Metazoa; Chordata; Mammalia; Artiodactyla; Balaenidae.